RNAcentral lists this ribosomal RNA (542 nucleotides) under Trichoderma harzianum. RNAcentral describes it as "eukaryotic LSU rRNA". The stretch from base 163 to 316 matches the Rfam family "5.8S ribosomal RNA". The record is from RNAcentral. Lineage: Eukaryota; Fungi; Ascomycota; Sordariomycetes; Hypocreales; Hypocreaceae.
AACUGUUGCCUCGGCGGGAUCUCUGCCCCGGGUGCGUCGCAGCCCCGGACCAAGGCGCCCGCCGGAGGACCAACCAAAACUCUUUUUGUAUACCCCCUCGCGGGUUUUUUUAUAAUCUGAGCCUUCUCGGCGCCUCUCGUAGGCGUUUCGAAAAUGAAUCAAAACUUUCAACAACGGAUCUCUUGGUUCUGGCAUCGAUGAAGAACGCAGCGAAAUGCGAUAAGUAAUGUGAAUUGCAGAAUUCAGUGAAUCAUCGAAUCUUUGAACGCACAUUGCGCCCGCCAGUAUUCUGGCGGGCAUGCCUGUCCGAGCGUCAUUUCAACCCUCGAACCCCUCCGGGGGGUCGGCGUUGGGGAUCGGCCCUCCCUUAGCGGGUGGCCGUCUCCGAAAUACAGUGGCGGUCUCGCCGCAGCCUCUCCUGCGCAGUAGUUUGCACACUCGCAUCGGGAGCGCGGCGCGUCCACAGCCGUUAAACACCCAACUUCUGAAAUGUUGACCUCGGAUCAGGUAGGAAUACCCGCUGAACUUAAGCAUAUCAAUAA